This 236-nucleotide long non-coding RNA is filed under the name Gossypium barbadense (sea-island cotton). RNAcentral describes it as "long non-coding RNA (GBAR_LNC013737)". The record is from RNAcentral. Lineage: Eukaryota; Viridiplantae; Streptophyta; Magnoliopsida; Malvales; Malvaceae.
GUGGGUUUCUUUGUUCUCAACUUUUGCAUGAUCCUAUUGUUGAUUCUCAACUGACCAGCUACAAAAGACUAAACAACAAAGUGCAGUGGGAAUUGGCUGACACUGUGAACAAAGAUUGAAAAAAGAAAAAUGGGAGAAAAAUUUUCAAAGAGAUUAGAUAGCAUCCAGGCUUAAAGUCAAACUUGAUACACUGUUUUCCAUUUUGUGCUUAUGAAAGUGAAUUUGUCUAGUUGCAC